GCUCUAAACCCACAGUGGUUCCCCCCACCCCCACCCCUGUUUUUUUUCUCUUCUUCCUGCAGGGAUGGAGUGGAGGAUAUUGACAGCCAGGGGGAUGGGAGCAGCCAACCAGACACCAUCUCCAUUGCUUCUAGGACGAGCUGCCUUUUCUGCUGCAGGCCUGCCCAAGAGUUGGGAACAAAGACCAGGAUUUGCAAUGGUGGCCCUCCCCUGCAGUAAUGGCAUUUAAAAGUCUGCUUGGAACACUCUAUGACCUUGGUAGAAAGCCUUAUUUCCGUCUUCAUGUGGCUGGUUCACUCCCAUCAUUCAGGUCUCAGCUUAAAUGUCACUUCUCAGAGAACUGUCACCAGCUACUCAUUCUGAAGAAGUCCUCAGGCCCUCUCUAGCCCAUUAGUCAGUGUUUUUUGUUUUGUUUUGUUUUGUGAUGGAGUCUCGCUCUUGUAGCUCAGGCUGGAGGGCAAUGGCGCAAUCUCAGCUUACUGCAGCCUCUGCCUCACAGUUUCAAGCGAUUCUCCUGCCUCAGCCUCCCAAGUAGCUGGGAUUACAGGCAUGCACCACCACAUCCAGCUAAUUUUUUAAUUUUUUUAAUUUUUAUUUUUUGAGAUGGAGUUUUGCUCUUAUUACCCAGGCUGGAGUGCAAUGGCAUAAUCUCGGCUCACCACAACCUCUGCCUCCCGGAUUCAAGCAAUUAAUCUACACUUCCAGCAUCAAUGUGCUAGGGUUCCCUUUUCUCUACAUUCUCACUAGCAUUUGUUAUCUCUUGACUUUUGAUAAUAGCCAUUCUAACAGGUAUGAGAUGAUAUCAUAGUGAAACCAUUUUGGUUUUUUUUUUUUUUCCACAAUGAAAGGCCUGUAUUUUAUACUAAUAUAAUGUGCCCUUUCUUCAGUCUGAAUUUGUAAAGUUUCACCAUAUUCUUUCAGCGGCUAUGGUUUUUGUUUUGUUUUGUUUUUGGUUUUGUUUUUGAGACAGAGGUCUCACUGUGUUGCACAGGCUGGAGUACAGUGGUGGAAUGAAUGAAUACACAGAAAAAAGUCAGUCAUGGAAUUAGGGGAGGUUUUUAUGGUUUUAUUAAUUUUUAUUUAACAAAUGCUUCUCUGGGUCUAGACAUUGUUCUAAACACUUUUCAAAUAUUAACUUCUUAAUCCUAGGAGGCCUAAGUGAUUUGGAUUCUUUUUAUUCUUAAGACAUUGGCCAGUUUGAUUUGUGGCUGAUUCAGAAACUGACUAGCCCCUAAGACGUCCAGCAGACAGAAACCAUUUGCCAGAUUUGGAGAUAGGACCUGGGCCUGAGGGGAGUCAUUUGGUCAUUAGUUCCCUACCUCUACUAAGGACUACAUUAAAACCAGCUAGACCUGUUUAGAUUUAGAAUAAAAGAAUGAAGAUUGUUUCAUUUUGAAAACAGGACUGUGCUGGGAGAUUGUAGCUGUUUUCAAGUCUCUUGAGCAGUGCCACACAUCAAAAGGACUAGAUCAUCCAGAGUUACUCCAGAUAACUAUGAUGAACAGAUGAAGAUUACAAUAGGCAGGGUUUCCGCUCAAAGAAAAAGUUUAAUCUAGGAGUCAGUCAGUGAUUAAAUGGGCCUUCAUGAAAACUAAUGAACGCCCAUACUGGAAGAUUUGAGAGACUGUAGCCAAAGUUAGGCUGGAUGAAGCUGAGAUUCUGUAACCAAAAGACAGUGGAUAUGUUUUGGUGGGGGAAAUGAGAUACCUGUUUUAUUUGGCACACAAUCCUGCUCUAAUCACUGAUGUGGCUAAGAAAUUCUUUGUGAUGUGUAACUGGACCCCCUCUUGUUGUGAUUUUA
RNAcentral lists this long non-coding RNA (1801 nucleotides) under Pan troglodytes (chimpanzee). RNAcentral's name for it is "long non-coding RNA NONPTRT011551". Lineage: Eukaryota; Metazoa; Chordata; Mammalia; Primates; Hominidae. The record is from RNAcentral.